RNAcentral lists this ribosomal RNA (495 nucleotides) under uncultured bacterium. Its description in RNAcentral is "partial 16S ribosomal RNA". It matches the Rfam family "Bacterial small subunit ribosomal RNA", at positions 28 to 505 of the family's 1533-position model. The record is from RNAcentral.
GAUGAACGCUGGCGGCGUGCCUAAUACAUGCAAGUCGAGCGAACGGACGAGAAGCUUGCUUCUCUGAUGUUAGCGGCGGACGGGUGAGUAACACGUGGAUAACCUACCUAUAAGACUGGGAUAACUUCGGGAAACCGGAGCUAAUACCGGAUGAUAUUUUGAACCGCAUGGUUCAAAAGUGAAAGACGGUCUUGCUGUCACUUAUAGAUGUAUACGCGCUGCAUUAGCUGGUUGGUAAGGUAACUGCUUACCAAGGCAACGAUGCAUAGCCGACCUGAGAGGGUGAUCGGCCACAGUGGAACUGAGACCCGGUUCAGACUGAUACGGGGGGCAGCAGUCGGCGAUCUUCCGCAAUGGGCGAAAUUCUGACAGAGCAACGCCGCGUGAGUGGUGAAGGUCCUCGGAUCGUAAAGCUCUGUGAGUAGGGAACAACAUAUGUGUAAGUAACUGUGCACAUUUUGGCGGUCCCUAAACAGAAAGCCACGUAUCACUGCG